GACGAACGCUGGCGGCGUGCCUAAUACAUGCAAGUCGAACGCUUCUUUCCUCCCGAGUGCUUGCACUCAACUGGAAAGAGGAGUGGCGGACGGGUGAGUAACACGUGGGUAACCUACCCAUCAGAGGGGGAUAACACUUGGAAACAGGUGCUAAUACCGCAUAACAGUUUAUGCCGCAUGGCAUAAGAGUGAAAGGCGCUUUCGGGUGUCGCUGAUGGAUGGACCCGCGGUGCAUUAGCCAGUUGGUGAGGUAACGGCUCACCAAGGCCACGAUGCAUAGCCGACCUGAGAGGGUGAUCGGCCACACUGGGACUGAGACACGGCCCAGACUCCUACGGGAGGCAGCAGUAGGGAAUCUUCGGCAAUGGACGAAAGUCUGACCGAGCAACGCCGCGUGAGUGAAGAAGGUUUUCGGAUCGUAAAACUCUGUUGUUAGAGAAGAACAAGGACGUUAGUAACUGAACGUCCCCUGACGGUAUCUAACCAGAAAGCCACGGCUAACUACGUGCCAGCAGCCGCGGUAAUACGUAGGUGGCAAGCGUUGUCCGGAUUUAUUGGGCGUAAAGCGAGCGCAGGCGGUUUCUUAAGUCUGAUGUGAAAGCCCCCGGCUCAACCGGGGAGGGUCAUUGGAAACUGGGAGACUUGAGUGCAGAAGAGGAGAGUGGAAUUCCAUGUGUAGCGGUGAAAUGCGUAGAUAUAUGGAGGAACACCAGUGGCGAAGGCGGCUCUCUGGUCUGUAACUGACGCUGAGGCUCGAAAGCGUGG
RNAcentral lists this ribosomal RNA (765 nucleotides) under uncultured Bacilli bacterium. RNAcentral's name for it is "bacterial SSU rRNA". It matches the Rfam family "Bacterial small subunit ribosomal RNA", at positions 28 to 764 of the family's 1533-position model. Lineage: Bacteria; Bacillati; Bacillota; Bacilli. The record is from RNAcentral.